Non-coding RNA from Camellia sinensis, 3392 nucleotides. The record is from RefSeq and is a predicted model, not a curated record. Lineage: Eukaryota; Viridiplantae; Streptophyta; Magnoliopsida; Ericales; Theaceae.
CUAGUCGUCAGUGGUCUUUCGUCGCUCGUCGGUGGUCGUCGUUCGCUGCCGUUGCAGUUAUCUAAGGUACACUUCUUCUUCUUCGUUCGGCUUCUUCUUCUUCUACGUUCUUCUUCUUCGAUCUUGAACUCUUCUUCUUCGAUCUUCUCUGUGUCUCAGUCGCUCUCUCUUCCUCGCAGUCGCUCUUGCUCUCUCACGCAGUCACACACACACUCUCUCUCUCUCUCUCUUCUCCUCUAAUUUGAGCCUUUAUUUUGUUUUCUUUUGUUUUUUUUUCCCUUUUAUAGGGUCAGUAUAAAUCAUAAGCGGAAGGCUUUUUCAUAUUAAGCCAAAUUACUACCUUAAUUAUCAAAUUAAGUCUAAUUUGAACAGAAUUUCUAAAUUAGGAUAAUAGGCUAUUACAAAUCACACUUUCACUGUUUGGAGCAAAAAAUUUAAUGAAUAAUGAAAGCGUUAUUACAAAUCACGCUUUUAAUUAAGAAAGCGUGGUUUAAAUUUGUUUUAUGAAGAAAAUGUGGUUCCAAACCACACUUUCACUGUGCAUAUUGUUUAAAUUUUGUUUUCUGAAGAAAAUAUGGUUCCAAACUAUGCUUUCACUGUGCAUAUUGUUUUGUUAAGAAAACGUGAUUCGAAAUCGCGCUUUCACUGUGCAUAUUUGUUUUGUUAAGAAAAUGUGAUUCACAAUCACGCUUUCACUGUUGAUAAAUGAAAGCGUGGAUUGAAACUACACUUUUACAACUUAUAUAAAACCCCUAAGCCCCCUCAUUUGCAAUCAUGUUUUUUACACUUACGUUUUUUUCGACUCUCGCUCUCACUCUCCCUUUUGCUCUGCUCUCAGACUCUCACUCUCCCUCUUGCUCUCGCUCUCCCUCUGCUCCCAGACUCUGUCUCUGCUCUCACUCUCUGUCUCUGCUCUCUCUCUCUGUCCAUGGCUUCAUGACACAUCUACCUGAUGAGGUCCCACUUUUCAGUCAUCCACAUCGGGUUGACAGUAUAUGGGAGGAUCCGAUAUGUAAUAACGUCUGUUGGACUUUAUGCUUACAAUGAAAAUACCUUGCAUUUUUUUUUUAUAUUACGUGAUAAUGCUAUAAUUUAAACUAGUCAUUCUGUUAUGCAGGACGAGGCACGCACCGUGGUGAUAUGCCGGCGGGGAGAUUUCGGCCUGUGGGAGCGUUCAUUGGACCAUAGAGUCUUGCAGUGUCUAUUACGCGCGAGAUUCUAUGGUGUCUAUCGUAUAGGUCAUAUUAUACUAGACCACCCACUCAUCACUGCUCUCGUCGAGAGGUGGCGCACAGAGACUCAUACAUUUCAUUUCCUAAUCGGGGAGGCCACCGUCACAUUGCAGGAUGUAUCUAUCCUAUAUGGUCUACGGAUUGAUAGGCGAGCAGUUAUUGGAGCUGACCCAUCAUUGACGAGGGACCAGUGGAUAGCCCUAUGUGCCGAGCUAUUAGGAGUAGCACCUAUACCUACAAACUUACAGGCAGGUAGACUGAGGGUGAGGUGACUAUUCGAGCAGUUUCAGGGCCAUCUUCUAGAUCAGGCUCUAGAUGAGUUAGUACAGCAGCAUGCCCGAGCAUAUAUUCUGUGGCUUAUUGGGGGGUACUUCUUCUUGAUAAGUCACAGAACCUACUCAAGCUGAUGUACUUGCCAUUGUUGAGAGACAUUGGCGCGAUCAGCCAGUACAGCUGGGGCGCCGCGACUUUGGCAUGCUUGUAUAGGAUGCUAUGUCGAGCAGCUCAGAUGGAUGCGAAGGAGAUCGGAGGAUCCCUUGUCUUGCUACAGAUUUGGGCGUGGGAGAGAUUGAUUCGCAUUACCCCGUCUAGGCGGCAAGUGGUUGCUCCUGGUGAAGUUUCCAUCGGCCAAGGAGACAUGCAGUUGCCAGCCGGACCUCGAGGUAGCCGGUGGAGGGUUGACAUGGGCCACGAGGUUGUAUCGACCCACGUAGUCAUCGUGUAUAGAGACCAGCUUGACCAGAUGAUAGAGGGCGAGUUUAUCUGGCAGCCUUAUGCUGGGGUCCUCAGUACGCUCCCAGACUAUUGCCGACUAGGUGAGAAGAUAUGGAUGGCGAGAGUGCCACUCAUUUGUUUUGACGUGGUUGAGUGCAUCUCCCUGAUUGUGUCCUCCGACAGUUUGGUCGGGUCCAGUCCGUGCCGGAUCGAUGCGACACCGAGUGGCGGUUGCAUGCGACUGGUAGACGUGGCCGAGCCGACACUGACUAGAGUCUGUAUCAUAUGCGAUAUAUACAGCUGUGGGAUGCCCGUCGUGACAGUAUUGUAUAGGCUGACUAGAACGAUGAGGUCCUCCCCUCUUCCGACCCUUACAUGUUGUGGUAUCGGCGGCAUACACACCUACUAGUCGAUAAUCCGAGCCACCUGUCUGAGUCCGAAUAUCAGGGACUUGGGCCUUCUCUCGAGACAUUGGUAGUUUGAGCUGAAAGGUCAUAUCACUUGGCUGAGGACGCCCUUUUCAAACGUGAUGGACAGCAUGCGAUGCAGGCCCUUGUAGAGAUCCGAGAGUUAUUGUACGAGGGGAUCCAGUAUGCCCAUUGGGUAGAUCGUCUGCAUUUUGGCCACUACGAUGUACACAGUGUAGCCGCUGCUCAAGACACAUCAGUCCCGUCCAUGUCAGUGCCUUCCACUUCAGCGCCAGCCACAGCAAGUCCUUGGACUUCAGUCACCCCACCGUAUGGUACCUCAUACAUUUCUCCAGAUUCCCCACACGUAUAUCCUACCCAGCAUGCUGACCCUAAUUAGACGCCGCCCGGAUAUAUGCAUGACGUUGUUACCCCACCCACCUAGUUACCACCUGUUUUUUUGGGGACUAGUUCGACCGCGACCAUGAGCACACAUGAUGCAGUUCUCACUGACAUCUCCUACGUUGAGGAUGAGGCCCAUAUUGAGCCCCUCCAGAGCGCGAGGAAGAGGCCGAGGUUAUGGUUGUAGCGGACGUCGCGGCCGAGGUCGGGGUGCGGGCAGAGGCAGAGGUCGAGGUCGAGGUGGAGAUCCAGCUACAGAUCGUGAUACAGUUGCAGCAGAUGAGGGAGUUUCACAGCUCACAAUAGUAUCCGAUCUUCAACCAGAGACAGGAUCAAGGGCAGCACAUGCAGGAGAGGGGGGGUCACACUCACAAGCUCCAUAGGUAGUCAGUGGAGGGCCACAUGCAGGGGAGGGAGUGCCACUGGAUACGCAUUUACGAUUGGGAAAGCCAGAUAUUCAGAGAGUCUACCGUAGGAGACCGAGGAGGGAGGUCCAUGGUCGGGGUUGUGGGACUGGGGGCAGGUUAGGGCAUUAGCGGGUGUGAUAUGGAGUGUAUAGUUUUUUUUAUUUAUAGUAAUUGUUAUAGUUUUUAUAAAUCAAGCUUGUACAGAUGAUGUAAAUGUGAUACUUAUUUAU